Long non-coding RNA from Falco peregrinus (peregrine falcon), 214 nucleotides. RefSeq lists it as uncharacterized. The record is from RefSeq and is a predicted model, not a curated record. Lineage: Eukaryota; Metazoa; Chordata; Aves; Falconiformes; Falconidae. The transcript is spliced from 3 exons.
UCCGGGGGACAGCGCGUGUCGCAGGCGCUUGGCAGCACACGGCCUCGGGAGGGGGAACAGACGCCAUGGGGCAAGCUGGGGCACGAGAAUGAAAACACCUUUGAGACAAUAAAGGAGUUGGAAGAGGAGCCAGUGUGUCCCAUUCAGUAUUCUCUAAGAUAGGCUUUUGUGCUGGCUUCAGCCAGUUCUGAGCUCUUUGGGGCUUAAAUCUCCC